Molecule: non-coding RNA, 99 nt
Organism: Trametes elegans
Lineage: Eukaryota; Fungi; Basidiomycota; Agaricomycetes; Polyporales; Polyporaceae
Source: the annotation of a GenBank genome assembly
GGUUCGAUGGUGUAGUUGGUUAUCACGUCUGUCUCACAUUUGCGACGAGCUGCAGAACGUGUGCACAGGAGGUCUCCGGUUCGAACCCGGGUCGAACCC